This 440-nucleotide ribosomal RNA is filed under the name uncultured bacterium. RNAcentral describes it as "partial 16S ribosomal RNA". It matches the Rfam family "Bacterial small subunit ribosomal RNA", at positions 338 to 795 of the family's 1533-position model. The record is from RNAcentral.
CCUACGGGAGGCAGCAGUGGGGAAUAUUGCACAAUGGGGGAAACCCUGAUGCAGCGACGCCGCGUGAGUGAAGAAGUAAUUCGUUAUGUAAAGCUCUAUCAGCAGGGAAGAAAAUGACGGUACCUGAGUAAGAAGCCCCGGCUAACUACGUGCCAGCAGCCGCGGUAAUACGUAGGGGGCAAGCGUUAUCCGGAUUUACUGGGUGUAAAGGGAGCGUAGACGGCAGUGCAAGUCUGGAGUGAAAGGCGGGGGGUCAACCCCCGGACUGCUCUGGAAACUGUACGGCUGGAGGGCAGGAGAAGUAAGUGGAAUUCCUGGUGUAGCGGUGAAAUGGGUAGAUAUUAGGAGGGACACCAGGGGCGAAGGCGGCUUACUGGACUGUAACUGACGUUGAGGCUCGAAAGCGUGGGGAGCAAACAGGAUUAGAUACCCCUGUAGUC